AAUGCCGGAUGCUCCAGUUGGAUGCAUGUCCUUCUGGGAAAGAUUCAUCGGUAUGGGAUGGGGUCGCGUCCUAUCAGCUUGAUGGCGGGGUAACGGCCCACCAUGGCUUCGACGGGUAGCCGGCCUGAGAGGGCGACCGGCCACAUUGGGACUGAGAUACGGCCCAGACUCCUACGGGAGGCAGCAGUGGGGAAUAUUGCACAAUGGGCGCAAGCCUGAUGCAGCGACGCCGCGUGCGGGAUGACGGCCUUCGGGUUGUAAACCGCUUUUGACUGGGAGCAAGCCCUUCGGGGUGAGUGUACCUUUCGAAUAAGCACCGGCUAACUACGUGCCAGCAGCCGCGGUAAUACGUAGGGUGCAAGCGUUAUCCGGAAUUAUUGGGCGUAAAGGGCUCGUAGGCGGUUCGUCGCGUCCGGUGUGAAAGUCCAUCGCUUAACGGUGGAUCCGCGCCGGGUACGGGCGGGCUUGAGUGCGGUAGGGGAGACUGGAAUUCCCGGUGUAACGGUGGAAUGUGUAGAUAUC
This 522-nucleotide ribosomal RNA is filed under the name Bifidobacterium adolescentis. RNAcentral's name for it is "bacterial SSU rRNA". It matches the Rfam family "Bacterial small subunit ribosomal RNA", at positions 165 to 698 of the family's 1533-position model. Lineage: Bacteria; Bacillati; Actinomycetota; Actinomycetes; Bifidobacteriales; Bifidobacteriaceae. The record is from RNAcentral.